AGCCCCCCUCUGCCUGGACUGAGCGCCACCCUGGCCCACGUUCAGGGAUCAAGCUCUACAACAGCUGGCAGGAAUGUGGCACCAGAAUCAGACAGCCAGCGAUGGCUGCGACAUAUCCUCGUUAAGCGCGCCCACUUUGGAACCAGCCAGAAUUGAAGUCCAGGAUCCUGCAACCUGACCGUAGGCCCAACACUUCAUUCAUCCACUUCUCCCAUACCUCAUCUGUGGAGUGGUCCUAACGCACCUGCCACCACCUGACAGCUUAUGUAUUCGCAAGAGCUGAUUGCUCCCUCCCUCUAGAAUGGAAUCUGCCCGAGGGCAGGGAGUUUUGUCUCGCCAGCACCCAGGGGAGCAGCUGGUCCAAAGGCCUUCACUAAAUGUGAAUACGAAUGAAUGAGUGAUGGAUAUAAACACACAGCUCGCAGGGAGAUGUUGGAACUUCACACUCUUGGUGACCCUGCUUUGUUCACGUGUGUCCUAACUUUUUCCUCCCUCCCCCUGGCCCUUCCUCUUUCUCUUCUUGCCCCGUAGAGUCCGUCGUCCACACAGCAGUUGGAGUGGAUUUCUUAAAAUACGAAUCAAGGUAUACAUUUUCCCCUGAUUAAAAGCCUCCCGUGGACUCCCAUUGUAACUAGAAUGGAUUCCAGCCCCUUCCAGGCCCUUCAUGCUCUAACCCUGGCAACCUCCCAAGUCUUCCUUCUCGCUAGGGCACGCUGUCCUGCCUGCACCCUCGGCCUGGACCACUCUUCCUCCAGUUCCCUCCAUGGCUGGCUCUUUCCCAUCACCGGCUUCCUGUGCAGGGAGCUAUUUCCUAGACACCCAGUCCAAUCCCUUCCUUCUUUUCUUCAUGGACUUACCGCUAAUUGGAGUUCUCUUUAUUUAUUUGCUUCAUAAAAUAGUCGCUCCCCCACCAGAAUGUAAGUCCCUCCAGGGGAGGGGCUGAUUUAUCUAGUUCUCUGCUGGAACCCCAGUGCUCAGUACGUGUUAGGUUAUGGAAAGAAAGAAAGGAUGAAAGAAAGGAAGCUAAAGAGGCUGGAAGGGCGGGGGGGGGGGGGGGGAGGCCUCCUGAUGACUUUGCAUCUGACUCUCAUCUUCCUCUUCUGCAAGUUCUGCUACCGUCCUGGGGGCUCAGCGGCCACAUGGACAAGCAGUCCAGCACCUGGCCUCUGUCAUAGGGGCUGUGCCUCGGGUCCUCUCAUUGCUCAAAGCAGAUGCAGUUAAGGCGCGCCUGGGUGGCUCAGUGGGUUAAGCGUUCGACUUUGGCUCAGGUCACGACCU
Long non-coding RNA from Acinonyx jubatus (cheetah), 1278 nucleotides. RefSeq lists it as uncharacterized. The record is from RefSeq and is a predicted model, not a curated record. The transcript is spliced from 3 exons. NCBI's taxonomy places the organism in Eukaryota, Metazoa, Chordata, Mammalia, Carnivora, Felidae.